This 450-nucleotide ribosomal RNA is filed under the name uncultured organism. RNAcentral describes it as "partial 16S ribosomal RNA". It matches the Rfam family "Bacterial small subunit ribosomal RNA", at positions 329 to 796 of the family's 1533-position model. The record is from RNAcentral.
ACGUACACUCCUGCGGGAGGCAGCAGUGGGGAAUAUUGGACAAUGGGCGCAAGCCUGAUCCAGCCAUGCCGCGUGAGUGAUGAAGGCCCUAGGGUUGUAAAGCUCUUUCACCGGUGAAGAUAAUGACGGUAACCGGAGAAGAAGCCCCGGCUAACUUCGUGCCAGCAGCCGCGGUAAUACGAAGGGGGCUAGCGUUGUUCGGAUUUACUGGGCGUAAAGCGCACGUAGGCGGACUAUUAAGUCAGGGGUGAAAUCCCGGGGCUCAACCCCGGAACUGCCUUUGAUACUGGUAGUCUUGAGUUCGAGAGAGGUGAGUGGAAUUCCGAGUGUAGAGGUGAAAUUCGUAGAUAUUCGGAGGAACACCAGUGGCGAAGGCGGCUCACUGGCUCGAUACUGACGCUGAGGUGCGAAAGCGUGGGGAGCAAACAGGAUUAGAUACCCGAGUAGUCC